This 462-nucleotide ribosomal RNA is filed under the name uncultured bacterium. Its description in RNAcentral is "partial 16S ribosomal RNA". It matches the Rfam family "Bacterial small subunit ribosomal RNA", at positions 28 to 507 of the family's 1533-position model. The record is from RNAcentral.
GACGAACGCUGGCGGCGUGCUUAACACAUGCAAGUCGAGCGGAAAGGCCCUUCGGGGUACUCGAGCGGCGAACGGGUGAGUAACACGUGAGUAACCUGCCCCAGACUUUGGGAUAACCCUCGGAAACGGGGGCUAAUACCGGAUACGACACAGCUUCGCAUGGGGUCUGUGUGGAAAGUUUUUCGGUUUGGGAUGGGCUCGCGGCCUAUCAGCUUGUUGGUGGGGUGAUGGCCUACCAAGGCGACGACGGGUAGCCGGCCCGAGAGGGCGACCGGCCACACUGGGACUGAGACACGGCCCAGACUCCUACGGGAGGCAGCAGUGGGGAAUAUUGCACAAUGGGCGGAAGCCUGAUGCAGCGACGCCGCGUGAGGGAUGACGGCCUUCGGGUUGUAAACCUCUUUCUGCAGGGACGAAGCGUAAGUGACGGUACCUGCAGAAGAAGCGCCGGCCAACUACGUG